GUAAUGGUGUCUUUAGACACCACCCUUUAUCUUCAAAAUUGUUGU
Molecule: non-coding RNA, 45 nt
Organism: Picea glauca (white spruce)
Lineage: Eukaryota; Viridiplantae; Streptophyta; Pinopsida; Pinales; Pinaceae
Source: Rfam